This 1078-nucleotide long non-coding RNA is filed under the name Taeniopygia guttata (zebra finch). RNAcentral's name for it is "lncRNA (ENSTGUG00000029147.1)". Lineage: Eukaryota; Metazoa; Chordata; Aves; Passeriformes; Estrildidae. The record is from RNAcentral.
CCUCACAGUUUUUCGAGGUGGGUAGGGGGUUGCUAUGACUUUUGCAUUUAACUGUGAAGCUACCAAAGGCCACCUCAGCUCUGCUGCACAGUUGCUCUCCCAAAACAGCCUCUGGGUAAUAGCGUUUGUCUUAGUCUGGCUUUCUCGAACUUUUCUUCAGGAGCUUUCUGGGAGGCUCAGCACAAAGGCACAGCGAAGAACCAUCGAGGCACAGCCAGUAUCCCACCACGAGACCGGGGAUGCUGACGGGAGGACGGAGCCGACAUGGUCGCCUGCCCCCGGCAUCCUCCGCCCCGCGGAUAAGUGACUAUACACCUUAGAAGUUUCACUUCAUCGGGAGCAAUCUAAAGAACUGUCGAUUGCAGAUGAUACAGAACAGAUGGAGGAACAAAGUUGGAGCUUUUUCCUUUACAGGGAAUAGAUGGGGACAUAGGCAGACCGACAGAGAGAUUGAUUUGAAAAGAUACUGACCUCUCUCCUUCAGCUGCAAUUUAACUUGUCCUGGAGGGAAAAAAAAAAAAAAAAAAAAAAAAAAAAAAAAAAAAAAAGAGAGAGACAAAAAAAAACCCCCACACAAGUGAGACCUGCCUCCUCCCCUGUCGGCCUCCUGCCUUCCCCCGCCCCAAGUUCGCACUGUCAUCUGAACAAACUGCUGCGCCGAUCUCAGAAGGUGAAUAAUUCUCAAUUAACUAAGUAACUAACUUUCUUUGUGCAAUCUUGAGUCACUCACUUAACUAAAUCUUAAGCCUUCGAGACCCUUCAUUAUUGCCUUCCCCCGCCACACUAUUUUCAAAGUUCAAUAGCAAGGCAACAAAAAACACUGCUGCAAAAUAAGAGUCUCUUUUAAAAUUAAAGAGCUGCUCAUUUGCAUCGGAAGAAGUUAUUUUUUCCCCCUGCUUUGAAUUAUUUAGGCACCAAAAAAAAAAAAAAAUAAAAUAAAGGACACCCUGCAAAGCCUCCCGCAGUCCGUGUCAGGAUCAGUGUCACGGAUGCUCUGCGGGGUGCGAAGCCACUGUGACCAAGUGGGCAGGCGCUGGAUCAGGUGUGUUGUUGGGCUGUGCGACUCGGGGCAUCCCGC